Long non-coding RNA from Patella vulgata (common limpet), 1988 nucleotides. RefSeq lists it as uncharacterized. The record is from RefSeq and is a predicted model, not a curated record. The transcript is spliced from 9 exons. Lineage: Eukaryota; Metazoa; Mollusca; Gastropoda; Patellidae.
AGUUAAUAUAUAGGCAGUUAGAGUCAAUUAGCUGUUGAGAAAAGGACUGCUAACAUCACAAUUCACAGAGUGUUAUUGAAGGAUGUGUUAGGGAUUGCUAUCUUCAGUGUUUACGGAACGGAAACACUAGUUCCUGGUGUAAAUAUAGCCGAAAACACCAUGUACAGUGUCUUUUACAAAACGAUACGGUUUUGAUUAUUUUACUUUGAUUUCGGACCAAGUGUAGCAGAAUAAAAGAUUCGGACAUUAUGUUUAGUAAAUGGAGAAAAGAACAGAGAGAGGACAUUGUUAAAAAAGAUAUAGAAUUACCUGGUGAAUUUAAGAAUCGUUUAGCGUUUGGUUUAUACAAUGUCUUUACGCCAAAGGAAUGUCAGGAAUUUAUUGAUAAAACAGAGAAACGUGGUUAUGAAGUGGCCUUAUUAUCAACGUGUGUUGGAGAUGUGUUAAGAACGGAUAUUAGGAAAAGUGCUCGAUGUAUCUGGGAUACGAAAAAGGAAGCUGAUAGGAUCUGGAACCGUAUUAAAGAUUUUGUUUGUACCGAGUUCAAAGGUUAUCCUGUUAUUGGACUAAACGAAAGGUUGAGAUUUUUGAGGUACACCGAUGGGGAUUAUUUUAAACCACAUUUUGAUGGAUGUUAUCAAAGGGAAAAUGGUGAAAAAAGUUUGAUCACUAUACAGUUAUAUCUUAAUGAGGGUUUUAAAGGUGGGUCAACAACAUUUUUAUCACGAGUAACAGAUGAACGAGUCGAAUUUGUUCCUAAAACAGGGGCUGUUUUAAUAUUUGAACAUAAAAUAUAUCACGAGGGCUCGUUAUUGGAGGAAGGUUUAAAAUACUCGUGUAGAACAGAUGUCAUGUUUGGUAAAGAUAAAAUACCAGAAUAACUAUAACAAAAACAGUUUUAUAAAUAUUUAAUGUGCUCAAGACUUCUGUUCAAUGCUGCAUGAUUAUCCCCUGUCUGUUUUCCCCAGAAUACUUGUGCCAAUGAAAUACCAAUGUUAACCCGGGAACAUAGGACCCUGCUCUAGGGGUUCCGUGGGUCUCUUCACCAGUGCUCCAUAAUAUUUUAGAAAAACUGACUGUAAAUGGGAUCUUCUUGAGCAUACCUUAAUGUUUAUAGCGUAUGCGUCAAUUCAACGUGUGGUAAUCUUUUCAAUUCAUUAAGAUCUAAAAUGACUUAGAUUCAAGACCGAAAAGCCCCCCAACCCCAAAUUAACGCGAGAACAUUAACUUCUUUACGGGCUCCCGGGCCUACCACACCCACAGACCCGUUCUCAGUCCACCCCAUAAUCUCACAAUUCUGGCUCCAUAUUAACCAAGGUGGAAUUCUCCAGGUUGACAACAUUAAUGAAAAGCUGAAACCAGUCGGUAGUCUUGCUUCAACAUUGCUUUUGUAUAUCUAACCUUUUCAAAAUAAUAUUUAAAUUGUAUUUAAUCAAAUGUAUUAUGUGUUUUGUAUGUGAUUUGAAGCUGAAACCAAUCAGUAUUCUUGUUUAUUUUAUGAUCAGUAGUGGAAUACCGCGUUUUAUCAGUGAAAUAAAAGUGUUAUUCCACUGGCCAGCAGUAGUCCAUGUUGAUUUUACCUAAAAUGAUUGUAAAAUCAUAAAAUAAAUAGAACAUUUGUCGUUUUGUCGUGAAUAACAUAUUUUAUUUCAUCUCUAAGCAGGAAAACGUUUAUAUUUUCACUCAUGCUACGCAUUCGUGAAAAUAUAAGUUUUCUUGCUUCUCGAUGAAAUAAAAUAUGUUAUUCACGACAAAACGACAAAUAUCCUCUAUAUAUCUAUCUUUUCACGUUGAUAUUUUUACAUUUUAUUUUAUCAAAUGUAUUUUAUUAGUUGAAUGCUGUGUAUUUCUUUAUAAUAUGCAAAUAUCAGUUGGUCUGAUGCAUGCCGGACUAUACACGUGUAACCCAAUAUUUUGUUUUUGUUACUUUCUCUUAAUUUAAUAUAAUUGGGUUACAUAAAUAUAUAAACGUUGAAUAUAAAUAUCAA